RNAcentral lists this ribosomal RNA (253 nucleotides) under uncultured bacterium. Its description in RNAcentral is "partial 16S ribosomal RNA". It matches the Rfam family "Bacterial small subunit ribosomal RNA", at positions 524 to 776 of the family's 1533-position model. The record is from RNAcentral.
UACGUAGGGGGCAAGCGUUGUCCGGAAUUACUGGGCGUAAAGGGCGCGUAGGCGGUACGACAAGUCGGGAGUGAAAGCCCGGGGCUCAACCCCGGGACUGCUUUCGAAACUGUCGAACUUGAGUGCAGAAGAGGCAACUGGAAUUCCCAGUGUAGCGGUGAAAUGCGUAGAUAUUGGGAAGAACACCUGAGGCGAAGGCGGGUUGCUGGGCUGACACUGACGCUGAGGCGCGAAAGCCAGGGGAGCGAACGGG